UCCGGCUUGACGCCGGCAGUCUCCCGAGAGUCCUCAGCUUGACCUGUUAGUAACACGGGACAAGGGUUGCGCUCGUUGCGCCACUUAAGGCAACACCUCACGGCACGAGCUGACGACAGCCAUGCACCACCUGUGAUGGUGUCCCGAAGGAAAACCGUGUUUCCACGGCUGUCACCAACAUGUCAAGCCCAGGUAAGGUUCUUCGCGUUGCGUCGAAUUGAACCACAUGCUCCGCUGCUUGUGCGGGUCCCCGUCAAUUCCUUUGAGUUUUAGCCUUGCGGCCGUACUCCCCAGGCGGGACACUUAUCGCGUUGGCUGCGGCACGGACAGAUUCGACUCCGCCCACACCUAGUGUCCAUCGUUUACGGCGUGGACUAC
Molecule: unclassified non-coding RNA, 378 nt
Filed under: uncultured bacterium
Lineage: Bacteria
Description: contains 16S-23S intergenic spacer region
Source: RNAcentral